CAAUAGCGUAUAUUAAAGUUGUUGCGGUAAAAAAGCUCGUAGUUGGAUUUCUACCGAAGAUAGCCGGUCGGGUCUUCGACCUUGUAUCAGGUUUUGUCUUUGGUAUCCUCAUAGGGAACGUUUCUGCGCUUUAUUGCGUGGUGCGGUAUCUAUGACUUUUACUUUGAGGAAAUUAGAGUGUUCACGGCAGGCAAACGCCUUGAAUAUAUUAGCAUGGAAUAAUAACAUAGGAUCUUCGUCCUAUUUUGUUGGUUUCUAGGGCUAAGAUAAUGAUUAAUAGGGAUAAUUGGGGGCAUCUGUAUCAACGCGUCAGAGGUGGAAUUCUUGGAUUGCGUUGCGACAAACUACUGCGAAAGCAUUUGCCAAGGAUGUUUUCAUUGA
Molecule: ribosomal RNA, 381 nt
Filed under: uncultured eukaryote
Lineage: Eukaryota
Description: partial 18S ribosomal RNA
Rfam family: Eukaryotic small subunit ribosomal RNA
Source: RNAcentral